CUUUCACAGAUUAUUUAACCAGAUAAGUUCUUCGGAAAACUGUUUGCAGCGAUGACUCCCCGGCUAGGGAAUCAGAGUUGAAUAAUGCGUGAAAGUACACGAGCGGCGGACGGCUGAGUAACACGUAGGAACGUACCCCAAAGUGAGGGAUAAGCACCGGAAACGGUGUCUAAUACCGCAUGUGAUCUUCGGAUUAAAGCUUCGGCGCUUUGGGAACGGCCUGCGCAUGAUUAGCUUGUUGGUGAGGUAAAAGCUCACCAAGGCGACGAUCAUUAGCUGGUCUGAGAGGAUGAUCAGCCAGACUGGGACUGAGAACGACCCAGACUCCUACGGGAGGCAGCAGUAGGGAAUUUUCCACAAUGGACGAAAGUCUGAUGGAGCAACGCCGCGUGCAGGAUGAAGGGUUUCGGCUCGUAAACUGCUUUUAUCUGUGAAGAUUAUGACGGUAGCAGAUGAAUAAGGAUCGGCUAACUCCGUGCCAGCAGCCGCGGUCAUACGGAGGAUCCAAGCGUUAUCCGGAAUUACUGGGCGUAAAGAGUUGCAUAGGUGGCACUGUAAGUUGGUAGUGAAAGCGUUCGGCUCAACCGAAUAAACAUUAUCAAAACUGCAGAGCUAGAGGAUGAGAGAGGUUAUUGGAAUUCCUAGUGUAGGAGUGAAAUCCGUAGAUAUUAGGAGGAACACCGAUGGCGUAGGCAGGUAACUGGCUCAUUCCUGACACUAAGGCACGAAAGCGUGGGUAGCAAACGGGAUUAGAUACCCCGGUAGUCCACGUUGUAAACGAUGGAUGCUAGCUGUAUUCGGUAUCGACCCCGGAUGUAGCGAAGCUAACGCGUUAAGCAUCCCGCCUGUGGAGUACGGUCGCAAGACUAA
RNAcentral lists this ribosomal RNA (870 nucleotides) under uncultured bacterium. Its description in RNAcentral is "bacterial SSU rRNA". It matches the Rfam family "Bacterial small subunit ribosomal RNA", at positions 74 to 897 of the family's 1533-position model. The record is from RNAcentral.